UGGCUCUCGCAUCGAUGAAGAACGCAGCGAAAUGCGAUAAGUAAUGUGAAUUGCAGAAUUCAGUGAAUCAUCGAAUCUUUGAACGCACCUUGCACUCCUUGGUAUUCCGAGGAGUAUGCCUGUUUGAGUGUCAUUAAAUUCUCAAAUCUCAAUCAGUUUUAUCUGACUUGGGACUUUGGAUGUGGGAGUUUGCAGGUUUCUCUGAAAUCUGCUCUCCUUAAAUGUAUUAGUGGUUACUGAUUGACCAUAUCCUGGUGUGAUAAUAUCUACUCCAAGGGUUGGUUAGUAAUUUAAAGAGUAACUGCUUCGAACAGUCCAUUAACUUGGACAACUUUGAACCAAUUUGACCUCAAAUCAGGUAGGAUUACCCGCUGA
RNAcentral lists this unclassified non-coding RNA (375 nucleotides) under uncultured fungus. RNAcentral's name for it is "partial contains 5.8S ribosomal RNA and internal transcribed spacer 2". The stretch from base 1 to 133 matches the Rfam family "5.8S ribosomal RNA", at positions 22 to 154 of the family's 154-position model. The record is from RNAcentral. Lineage: Eukaryota; Fungi.